Molecule: long non-coding RNA, 1313 nt
Organism: Amphibalanus amphitrite
Lineage: Eukaryota; Metazoa; Arthropoda; Thecostraca; Balanomorpha; Balanidae
Exons: 5
Source: RefSeq, a predicted model, not a curated record
CACGGCGCGGGCGUUGACGCCUGCGACACAGUCUGCCGUUGUGAUUUUGAGAGAAUAUUACUUGCGUUUAGAUUACAACUAUCCAACGCAAUUUAAUAUCAGUGUUUCUAGCCCAAUAUAUCCUUCGUUUGAUAUUUUUAAGGAGGAAAAUCAUUAUUGUUUGAGUUGUACCUGAGCUAAGCAAAUAUGAUCAAGAAUCGAAGCCUUGCUGGAAAGUGGGCAAUAGGCUUGUUUUCUCUCACAUUAAUUCUUGUAGUACUUGCUUUUUCAACUCAGAAUUGGCUCGCCAGUGACGACCGUUUCUAUGGCGCAAAGUUGGAGAAAAUGGGAUUGUGGGUUCAUUGCUUCAGGAGCCUUACUGGCCCAAACGAUCCCACGCAGCGUCUGUUCUUCAGUGGCUGUCGCUGGCUGUUUGAUACCUACACAACAGGCUAUGCUGAGAUUCGAAGCCACUUAACACCUCCAUUCUUCAUAGCUGUGCAGAUGUUCUACACCCUGACUUUCAUGUGCACGGCAACAAGCGGAGUUCUGGUUCUGAUGCUGAUGUUUUGUAUCGACGAGGACCGUGAAACGUGCUUCCUGAGAGUGAUCGCCACUCUGAUGGGACUGUCUGGCAUUUGCGGCACGUUGUCUGUGAUCAUAUUCGGCGCCAGCGGUCGCAGCUACGAGUGGACCGCCGACAAACAGCACAACUAUCUGUCCUGGAGCUACGGUCUAGGUGUUCUGGCCAGCUUCCUGGCCCUGUGCGACAUGACGCUAUUCCUGGUCGAUGCCCGCAUCAAGCAGCGUAAACUGGAGGGCCGCGGCUCCACCCGACCGAAAGUCAAGGAUACAGAGAUAUAGUGGCGUUCCGGCCGCCACGGCAGAGGCUAACCAUGUGCUGGCACGCCGUCCUCGCGGCGUUCCUGCAGCUCGUGCUCUGCGUACUGGUUAUCAACGAGGUCAGAAUCACAAGAAAGAAACACAGUCGCAUGAUGCCGCCGCAGCAGGCAGCAGAAGUGGAUCUGUAAUUGAUACAUCGCUACCCAGUGGCAAUGUUAACAACUUCAGCUGCCGGCAGCGCCACCAGAGGCGCUCGUAAUCGUGUUUGUUCUAUGGUGAACAUUGAUAUGUUCUGUUACGUGUACCGUGGUUCGGAGGAACUGAUCUGUGGAAAGUGUAUCGUUUUUAUAUGAAUCUCUUUUGAAGAUGAAGUCGUGAUCUUACAUUUAAAAGCCGACUUCCACUUCAGCUAAAGUUAUCUAAUUACCUGGAUCGUCCGUCUGUUAUCUCAACUCAUAAUUGAGCUCAUAUGUUACAACCUUUUGCAUUGA